RNAcentral lists this ribosomal RNA (358 nucleotides) under Dehalococcoidia bacterium. Its description in RNAcentral is "bacterial SSU rRNA". It matches the Rfam family "Bacterial small subunit ribosomal RNA", at positions 1 to 376 of the family's 1533-position model. The record is from RNAcentral. Lineage: Bacteria; Bacillati; Chloroflexota; Dehalococcoidia.
CGGAGAGUUUGAUCCCGGCUCAGGAUAAACGCUGGCGGUGUGCCUAAUGCAUGCAAGUCGAACGGUCCUUCGGGACAGUGGCGAACGGGUGAGUAACACGUAAGCAACCUGCCCCUAAGUGGGGGAUAACUUCGGGAAACUGGAGCUAAUACCGCAUGUGGUGGCCCUUCAACAGAAGGGUCAUUAAAGCCUUCGGGUGCUUGGGGAGGGGCUUGCGUCUGAUUAGCUUGUUGGUGAGGUAACGGCCCACCAAGGCAAUGAUCGGUAGCUGGUCUGAGAGGAUGGUCAGCCACACUGGGACUGAGACACGGCCCAGACUCCUACGGGAGGCAGCAGCAAGGAAUAUUGUGCAAUGGGC